RNAcentral lists this ribosomal RNA (244 nucleotides) under uncultured Staphylococcus sp. RNAcentral's name for it is "partial 16S ribosomal RNA". It matches the Rfam family "Bacterial small subunit ribosomal RNA", at positions 96 to 334 of the family's 1533-position model. Lineage: Bacteria; Bacillati; Bacillota; Bacilli; Caryophanales; Staphylococcaceae. The record is from RNAcentral.
CGGCGGACGGGUGAGUAACACGUGGAUAACCUACCUAUAAGACUGGGAUAACUUCGGGAAACCGGAGCUAAUACCGGAUAAUAUAUUGAACCGCAUGGUUCAAUAGUGAAAGACGGUUUUGCUGUCACUUAUAGAUGGAUCCGCGCCGCAUUAGCUAAUUGGUAAGGUAACGGCUUACCAAGGCAACGAUGCGUAGCCGACCUGAGAGGGUGAUCGGCCACACGGGAACUGAGACACGGUCCAG